UACGAAGGGUGCAAGCGUUAGUCGGAAUUACUGGGCGUAAAGCGUGCGUAGGUGGUUUCUUAAGUCCGUUGUGAAAGCCCCGGGCUCAACCUGGGAAUGGCAGUGGAUACUGAGAGGCUAGAGUGUGUCAGAGGAUGGUGGAAUUCCCGGUGUAGCGGUGAAAAUGCGUAGAGAUCGGGAGGAACAUCAGUGGCGAAGGCGGCCAUCUGGGACAACACUGACGCUGAGGCACGAAAAGCGUGGGGGAGCAAACAGGG
Molecule: ribosomal RNA, 257 nt
Filed under: uncultured bacterium
Lineage: Bacteria
Description: partial 16S ribosomal RNA
Rfam family: Bacterial small subunit ribosomal RNA
Source: RNAcentral